GAAAACCAGUGAUUUUUGUGCGAAACAAAUCUGCAGCGAAGCACAGAACGACGGCCGCCCGUCUCUCCGACGGGCAGCUCUACGGGCAGAGGGACGCAGCGGGUCUCGCCACGCUCGUGAGUACGGUAGAUGGGCGGGGCUUGGC
Molecule: non-coding RNA, 145 nt
Organism: Caenorhabditis elegans
Lineage: Eukaryota; Metazoa; Nematoda; Chromadorea; Rhabditida; Rhabditidae
Source: Ensembl